CUGGCGUUUUUCUGCAGGAGCGACCUCCUGGCGGACUGCGUGGGAUGCGCGGUGAAGACGAGGUCGACGCUCUGGUUCUUGAGCGCCUCGAACACCUCCGCGGGGGUCUUGCCGAGCGACACGAGGCGCUUGAGCGUCUCCUCGAUGUCGGACUCGGUGGUGGCGGAGCCCUCGUCGGAGAAGUCCCCGUGCUUGAGCUUGCUGUUCCGGCGGCGGUGCGCCAGCUCCACUUCCUCCGCCAGGUUGGCGAGGUUGAGCAUGUGCAGGAUGGAGCUCGCCACCAGGAUGGCGUCGGCGGGGGCCAGCCCCGUCAGCUUGGCUCCCAGCUCCCCCAGCUUGGACGUGUCUUUCUUGCCCUCGUAGUCGGCCGACACCUCGUAGCACUCCUGGACCUGCAUGCAUCGCAUUUGGGUAUAUAUAUAUAUAUAGUAAGCACCGGAUUCGAGACGUAUAGACUAUAGAGAGGUGAGCUGAUGAUGCUCUCAGCUCGAUCUGCUACGUACAAAUUCGCGAAGGCUGGGGCCAUGGAGGUCCUGGAGGAUGUCGAGGAAGCGGUCGACGAGCAGGGCGUCAUACUGGAUGAGCUCCUCGGAGACCUUGCCGGGUGCGAGGGCACGGAGCUGCGCGUCGAUGGAGUGGUGCCGCUCGGACGCCAUGGCGGCGGCGGCCGGGGAGUGGGCCGGGAAGCGCGAACGAAGCUGGAGAUGGUUGGAGCGCGGCGCGGCGUGUUGCUCGUGCUGCUCCUCUGCUGCGAGUUGAUUGAUCAAUGCAGGGCGCCGGCCGGUGGCUUCAAAUAGGGAUGGGGAGUUGGCGAGUGUGUGGUCGGCGUGUGCACGCGGGAUUGGAAAGGCAUGCAUGUGAUCGGCGGUAAGGGUAGCCGAGAGCUGCGCGCGGCUGUGGCUACGCUGCUUUUGGCUGGGAUCGCUGCUGUGGACGUACUUUGUCACUGCGCACUUGCCUGCUUGUGUUAUUCCGCUGGCUAAUUGCCUGUUUGCAGGACGUGGAGAGGGGUGUCUGCUAGUGCUAGCUAGUGGUAAGGAUGGGGACGACGCUUCAAAUAACUCCUCGUGGUUCUUCUCUAGUCUAACUAAACGAACUAAAUUAAAAAAAUAAGAAAGAAAUUGUUUAUUUAGUUUAUUAAGUUAGACUAGAGAAAAACCGCGCAAGUAUCCAUUUAGAGUACCAUCUUCAUUCUUAGCUAGUGGUAACCGCAAAGGGGACCGGGAGAGCUGCGGCCGCACCUUGCUCCUGGAUCGUUUUUGGCUUGGCUUUGCUGCUGUUGACGUGCUUUGUCACUGCUCACCUGCCUUCUUGUGUUAUUCGGUUGGCUGAUGGGUUUGCAGGAUGGGGAGAGGGGUGUCUGUUUGCAGUCAAGGCCGGAUUCUGGGGAUCGGUAGAAUUUGGAGGUUUGCUUGCACGCGAUGUGGAGAGAGGUGUCUGUUAGCAACGGAGGAUGCAUGGCGCUGGAGGAAGGCUUUGCAGGGUGUGGAGGAGAGGGUGCCUGUUAUCCAGUAAUGUUAAUGUUAGGAACAUAGAUGUCCUAUAUCCAUGUAAAUUGUGGAAACAGAACUUAAUUUCCUUAGGAGACCGGGAAACAAAAAAUGAACUUGUGGUUAAGGAUAUGGACUAUAAUUUUGUGGUUCAAAGAAAGGUAUUGGUAUACAUGGCUGCCGUAGGGAUAAGGGUCAUACAUGGCUGCCGUAGGGAUAAGGGUGUUGUUACUCUACCAAGGGCACCAUACAGGUGGCUGCACAGCAUUCAGGCGCUGCCAAAUCUAGCGCGCACAUCACUGGGUCAAGCCGACACAGAUUUGGACAAUACGAUGUGUAGCAGCUGGUGGUGGUGAAGAUAUGCGGAUUUAAGAGAGAGGUGGAUUUGGGUUGGGAGGAGCAACUUGCAUCGUCGUGGAUCUCCACACAAAAAAGAAGAAUUGGAAAUGUAUAAUACUAUACAUAUGCUUAAAUGAAAGUAUUUACUGAAUUGUGGAUCGAUGCAUUAAUUGUCAUCACAAGUGAAAAUUAGGUAAUAAUGAGUACUAGUUAAUAGUUGAGCACGGAAAAAGCAUCGAAUUUUGACCUUGCAUUUAGUACCACACCACAUCUCCUAACUCCUUAUUACAUGUCCCGAUCCUCAGCUUGCUGUCAACAUGUAUUAGUCGAGUAGGUCGAGAUCUGGAUCAACCAUGGCAAUAUAGAAUUCCCAAUUUCCCAUAUAUGCAAAAAGUAGCACUGCAAAUGUCCACUUUCAAUAGCAGUAGUUGUCACGUAUGAGUGUAAGUGCAUCAAUGCUAUCAGUGAGUUUUGUUGAAAAGAUGAUGACGCAUAUAAAGAGGUAAUGAUGUUUCAUGAGAUUUUCAGUUAUACAUCGAUGUGAAAAAGUGCAAAAAGAAACAUGGGACCCCUCAAUUCUUACUUUAAAGAAAAAUGCGGCAUUGCGUUUUCAAAGAAACAUGGAAAAAGCAUCGAAUUUUGACCUUGCAUAUACUACCACACCACAUCUCCUAACGCCUUAUAUCUCUACAUCCCUAUCAACACGCAUGUGUGCAUUAGAUCGAGCAGGUGUCGAGAUCUGGAUCAGCCAUGGCAAGACAUAAUUCCCAAAUUAAUUAAUUCCCAUAUGCAAAUAUUAGCACUGCAAAAUGUUCUAUUCUAACAGUAGUUCGUUGUCACGUAUGAGCAAAGCAGCAAACUAAUCUGUCACUCCAUCAAUUAGACAUCUCAAAAACAAAAGGAUGAGAUUAAAGGAAAAGACUAUAUAUAUAUAUAUAUAUAUAUAUAUAUAUAUAUAUAUAUAUAUAUAUAUAUAUAUAUAUAUAUAUAUAUAAUUCCUUAUAUAAUAUUUUUUUAAACUCAUGAGAACAUGCAUGUUUGACUCGAGAACUUAAUUAGUAGUAGUAAUAGCAUGCGGAGCACAUAAUAUGGUCCUACGUUGCGAUCCCUUGAAGCUUGUUUCUUCGCCAACAUAAGCUAAACAAAAAUACCGGCAUGACAUUUGAAAUAAAGUUCACAUUUACUAAAAGAUGAUCUUUUGGAGCACGAAACAGUUGAAUUUUCGUGUGCAGGGGAACUGGAAAUUUAGAGCCACGCAUUUUCGACAUGGAGACAAUUUAUUAGUAGUGAAAAAUUAGAAUCUAUGAUAGUUAUAGUUAUUAUUAGGUGCUACUAUUUUAAUGAGUUCGUGAUGAUUCAAUUGAAUCUAUGGUAACACCUGUGAUGCUUUUCAACGUGGAUUACACGAUUAGUGAUUUGAUCAAUACAAUUUUAUGGUUUAGAAGAUUUUGGCCAUGAAGACUUGUGCAACAUAUAUUACAGAAAAUGAUUGUGGUUGAAACAGAAGAAAAAUUGUUGGCCAAGAAAUUUAUGAUAAUGAAGUAACUGAAUAGGAAGAAUUAUUUUGAUGGAUGAAAUAAAUUUUGGCACCAAGAAAUUGAAAAUAGACGUCAAAAACAACAUCCGUUCUUGGACAAAUGCACAGCUAUGAUUAGGGACAAAUAGAGAUCUCUAUCGGUCGAAGUAUUCGCGCGCUCCCAACUCUUGCGUCCCUUCUACGCAACCUCACGUCUCCUGCACCAUGUAUCAGUGAAAAACACACAACGACCACUUAUCGCUCCCAGCUCUUAUGUCCCUUCUACACAGCCUCACAUCUCAUACACCAUGUAUCAGAGAAAAACACACAAUGACCACUUAUCAGAGAGUAAAAAUAUGAGCGUCUAGAAGCUUCUACACUUGAGAGCUUAGACACGAACAAAACGAAGAAGCCUCUACACUUGUACUACAAGGAGUGCAAAAAUGGCCGACAAUUGUUAUACUGUUGGGCAUUUACUUGCACCGUCGGGAAGUGUAAUGCCCGAGCGUGUACCGUCGGGAACCUCACGUCGAGCAUCCAUGGUCGGGCAUUCCCCCUUUUACGGACGGGUAGUCGGUCAUUGUGUGGCCGACCGUAUGUUUCCGACGGUUAACGCUCAACAAUUAGUUUGUAAACACGCCAAAAAGACUUUGGUCGGACAUGAAUUGCCGAGGGUACCCUAGUCGGGGACUUGUUACUUGACAAUUUUUUAAAAUCCAUUGGCAAAUAUAUACAGUCUGAGUUUUGUUGAACGACGGCUUUUUAAAACCCAUCAGAAAAUAUAUCCGGUCAGGAAUGCAUUGCAUGACGGGUUUUUAAAACCCGUCGGGAAAUAUAUUCGGUCAGAGAUUUGUUGCAUGACAGUUUUUAAAACCCAUCGAAAAAUAUAAUCUGUUGGGGAUUUGUUGUACGACGGUUUUUUAACCCAUCGAGGAACAUAUUAGCAACGGUGUUUAUUAACCAUUAGGAAAUAUAAUCGGUUGGGGAUUUGUUGCAUGACGGUUAUUGAACCCCAUCGAGAAACAUAUUAGCAAUGGUGCUUGGGAUAUUUUAUAGCCAUAAAUAAUUAAUAUUUAACAAUGAAGAUCAAUUCUAGAUGUACAUUCACACUAUAACUCACGACAUUUCAUAACCAGCUCUACAAUAUUGCAUAGUACAAUGAAAGUUUGAAGCCCAAUGACAACUAAACAAAGGUACGAACAAGAGAUUCUUAAAGUUUCUAAGAACAUUCUUCAACAUAACAUAAGUUAAUGUUUAGACUAAAAUACUUGACUAAGAUGCUGCUAUUCACAAGGCAUAACAAAUACUACUUAAAAGUGCCACACACUUCAUAUGUUGUAUAGAAUCUUUUCUCAUCAAUAGGUGCCAUCAUCAUCAUAACCAUGGUUCACAUAAUAUUUGCCAUCAUCUUGGGAACGAUAGACUUCAUCUUCAUAAUCAUAGGUAUCAUCCUCACUGUCAUCACCACUAUAGUUUUCUCCACCAAUGUUAUCCUACAGAAGUUGUAAAAUUAUUUCUAUAAACAUAUGAACUAACUUGAAUACAUAUAAGAUAGAUUUUAUAAUACUUAACUUGAAUACAUAUAAGAUAGAUCUUAUAAUACUUUGGCAUGAAUAUGCAACACAAAUAAUACUUACAUGUUCAGAUGCAUUAGGAACAGUUUUCUUAUGCUCUAUAGAGAAUGCAACCUCGGAUUCAGAAGUAGGUUGCAUGUCAUUGUUGACGGUCCUUAAUGCUCACAUUUAACCGUCAACUAAUCAUGGAAAAGGACCUAUAUGCAACCAACAUCCAAAAUUAGGGUUUCAUCUGACAGAAUUUCACGAGUUUUGGUGUUUGUCUAUUUCUGCAGGGGGUUAUGAGGAAAUAUGGAGGAAAGGUCCACACAUCGGGUUUACAUAGAGAUAUUAACGUGCACCGUAAUUAUCCAACAUCUAGAAGAGUCGAGAAGCCACGGGAACGAGCGGAUGGCCGAGCGGGCCCGGGGGCUGGGCGCCCGACCUCCCUCAUAGGGCGCCGCCCUGCUACAGGAGCCAAUCAGGCUCCGCCUCGCGGAUUAUGCUCCACCGACCGAACGAAUUAAGGAAAACCGUGCGAUUAAGGUCGGUUUGAUCCGACGGGCCAUGUUCAUUUGGAAGGGCUAUAUAAGCAGGCCCCCUGGCCCCUGGAGAGGAUAUUUCUUCUACACAAUCAAAGCUAGGGUUUCAAUUAUUCAUCCAAGUAGAGAGGAUCCCUCUAGUUCAUCUAGUUCUAGUUCUAGUUCAUCUAGUUCUAGUUCUAGUUAGUUCUAGUUGUAAUCUAGAAAAUAGGGAGAGAGAAGAGGAGAGCGGAGGAGGAGCCGGAUCUGUCGGAUCUUCCUCAACAUUAUACUUUUGCAGCAAUUGGUUUGUUCUUCAUCGUUGUCCAAGUUCUUCAAUUCAUAAUUCCUGAGUUCUUUAAUUACUUUUAUUUACAUUCAAGUUAUUUAUUGGAUUUCUGCUAACAUCAAGUGCUCUAGUCUUUGCAAUGCUAGAGUAGUAAUUAAUAGAUUAGACGUGGUGUUUAGUCUUGCAAUUACCUAGAAUUACACCCAAUCCUGUGGAUUAUUGUGGUAGCUCUAGGGUAGUGACAGACCUAACGGUCGACGUAUUCCACCUCGUUCGGAUCGGUGUUUGUAGGACCAUAGUCAGAGCUUCCUAGCCCCCUUCUCAUCUCUUUCUGUGGUUAGUGUUCUGAUGUCCCGAAAUAAAUAAUCUUUGAAGUAAUUCUUUAUUCUUAGAUCAACUAGAGAACUCUCAGGAAACUUCCUCUCUUCCCACCAAAAAUAAUUAUAUAGUUAUCCUUGGGCGAUCUUGAAUCUUAAUUAGUACACUCAUGUUCCCUGUAGAAAAUCGAUACUCUAGAAUACUCCUGGAUGAAAGCUACAUCGGUAUCCGUGCGCUUGCGGAUUUUUUCUGUUUGCGUUUAAAAUACCCAACAAGCUUUCUGGCGCCAUUGCCGGGGAACGGUAGUUGUGCUAGUUUCGAACCAAGUCGUACGUGUAUCCUUUUUCUUUUCCUUUUUUUUACCACACUCACCUUACCAUUUUCACCAUACCACAUGGAUUUCACUCCUAUCUAUAAAUUAUUUGCUCCAAAGGGCGAGUUAUUAGAGCCACCACCAUCAUCACAUCCAAUUCUUACAGAUGGCUACGACCUCGGCCCUGAUCUAAUAGCCAUGAUUCAGGAGCAACCCUUCUCUGGGCAAGUAGAUGAAGAUCCAUACACCCACCUUAGAGAAUUCGAGCAGUUGUGCUCUUGCCGAUCUAUUUCCGGCAUGACACAAGAAACCCUUAAAUGGAAAUUAUUUCCAUUCUCCCUUUUGGGAAGAGCAAAAAAGUGGUAUGCUCAUUCUGUAGGAGGCGUUAAUGGAAAUUGGGAUGAACUUCAGGACAACUGUUGUCUCGCUUUCUUCCCACUUUUUCGAAUCGCUGACCUUAGAAUCAAAAUUCUUACAUUCAAACAAAGAGAGAAGGAAACUUUAGGAGCAGCUUGAGCUAGGUUCACAAGCCUUACCAAUUUCAGUCCAAACCUUUUCAUGCCUGACCAUGUACUAUACUACCACUUUUAUCGUGGUCUAAACAAGGAAGCUGCUCUUCACCUCGACAUUGCUUCAUGAGGCUCAUUCGCACACAAACUCAUAGAUGAGGGGAGAGCUAUCCUAGAGAGAAUCCUUGAAAAUAUCCCUUACACAGCCAUUUAUGAUGAGUUUCCUAAAGAAGAAAAAGAAGUCGAGCCUGAUCCUAAACCAAAAGAUGAGGAACUUGCAACCGAGUUAGAAAUUCCACCUGACCCAUCUAUUAAUUUGGUUGUAGAGAAACCUCCUGAUAAGGGAAUGCAAAACCAACUAAGGGAUAAUGAACCACCACCUUUAGAGCAUUCCUUUGAAUUCGAGGAAGAUCUUUUUGAAGAUUAUGGAAACGCCUCGAAUUUUCUUAUCCAAACACGACCUCUAGCAGGGACCACUCAAUCCGUUCUAAGAGUAGAAUCUGUUGACAUAGAACACAUCAAAUGCCUUUCGGCUAUUCUGAGUUAUGAAUGGCUAACAGAAGCAGAGCUGUCUCCUGAGGUAGCUCAGAUCAUCACUCCUUCAACCAUUCUUCUGUGCAAAAUUAGAGGGUCCGCUAGGAAGGUCCACUACAAUCCACAUGUUGGGAUAAAUGUUAUUUCCAAGGAGUUAGCUCACACUCUUUAUCCCAAUGAGUCCAUAACCCCAUCUCAAAAACUUUUACAAAGUCCAUCUGGAUUAAUUCUAGAAAGCCAUGGGGGUAUUAAGGGCAGUUCCUGUUAGAAUCAAGGACUCUGGAAUAUGUCUAGAUUUUCACAUUUUUGACAUACCGGAGAUUCCUCUCUUGAUUGGCAGACCAAUCAUGAAACUUCUACAAGAACAACCACAACGAGGUCAUUUAGACUUCAAUGUUGGGAAUUCCACUAUUGUUGUUCCUCUUGCUAGAUCAAUUAACACGAUAGUGGAACCCAAACUUAAACUAGAUCCUAUUGAGGAGAUCUUAAUGCUGACUCAAGAGGAGAUGGCCCAACCAUUCUUUAAUCAUGAACACUUUGUUCAAGAAGAAGAAGAGUUGGUAUAACCUGUUGAGCUAGACAAAAAUGAACAACCUUCACCUCCUUCGAUAGAGUUAAAACCUCUUCCUUCUGGCCUUAGAUAUGUCUUUUUGCACAACAACCCAAAAACUCCAGUAAUUAUCAGUGACAAGCUUUUCGAUUAUGAAACACAACAACUUGUCACUGUUCUUGAAAGGCAUAGAUCAGCAUUUGGCUACUCUCUUGAAGAUCUCACGGGCAUUAGUCCCAUUCUCUGCACUCAUCGUAUCCCUAUUGAUCCCAAUUUUACACCUUCAAGGGAACCACAACGGAGACUUAACAAUGCUAUGCGAGAGGUUGUUAAGAAAGAGGUCCUCAAACUCUAUCAUGCUGGGAUUAUUUAUCCUGUGCCACAUAGUGAGUGGGUUAGCCUUGUCCAAGUAGUGCCAAAGAAAGGAGGAAUGAGAGUCGUUAGGAAUGAGAAGAAUGAACUCAUCCCUCAACAAAUUGUCACUGGGUGGCGUAUGUGUAUUGACUAUCGAAAACUCAACAAGGCUACAAAGAAAGAUCACUUUCCGUUACCCUUCAUUGAUGAAAUAUUGGAACGGCUUGCAAACCACUCUUUAUUUUGUUUCCUUGAUGGUUAUUCUGGAUAUCACCAAAUCCCAAUCCACCCAGAUGACCAAGAAAAGACUACCUUUACAUGCCCGUAUGGAACUUAUGCAUACCGACGAAUGUCGUUCAGAUUGUGCAAUGCUCCAGCUUCUUUCCAACGGUGCAUGAUGUCUAUUUUCUCGGACAUGAUUGAGAAGAUCAUGGAGGUUUUCAUGGAUGAUUUUAUCGUAUAUGGCAAAACCUUCGAUCAUUGUUUGGAGAAUUUAGAUAAAGUCUUGCAGCGAUGUGAAGAAAAGCACUUAAUCCUGAACUGGGAGAAAUGCCAUUUUAUGGUUCAGGAAGGAAUAGUGCUAGGACAUAAAGUGUCCGAACGUGGUAUAGAGGUGGACAAAGCAAAGAUUGAAGUUAUUGAAAAACUUCCACCUCCCACGAAUGUGAAAGGAAUCCGUAGCUUUUUGGGACAUGCAGGGUUCUAUAGACACUUUAUCAAGAACUUCUCUCAAAUUGCUAGACCCCUAACUAGUCUCCUAGCUAAGGAUGCACCUUUCAUCUUUAGUGAUGAGUGUCAUGAAUCUUUUCAAACUCAUAAGAAAGCACUCAUCUCAGCCCCGAUUAUCCAACCACCUGAUUGGAAUCUUCCUUUUGAGAUCAUGUGUGAUGCUAGCGAUUUUGAGGUUGGUGCCGUUUUAGGACAAACCAAGGAUAAAAAGCAUUAUGCCAUAUCCUACGCUAGCAAAAUCUUGUCUGGACCACAGCUCAAUUACACUACAACUGAAAAAGAGAUUUUGGCUAUUGUCUUUGCUAUUGACAAGUUUAGAUCUUACUUAGUGGGGCAAAGAUAAUCAUCUAUUCAGACCAUGCUGCUCUCAAGUACCUCCUCACUAAGAAAGAUGCUAAGCCUCGUCUAAUUCAAUGGAUUCUUCUACUCCAAGACUUUGACAUAGAAAUCCAAGAUAGGAAGGGAGUAGAGAAUUCCGUAGCCGACCACUUGUCUAGGCUUCAAUAUAAGGAAACACAUGAUGAGCUUCCCAUAAAUGACUACCUAAGGGAUGACACCCUGCUUAAGAUAACACAUGUAAAUCCAUGGUACGCAGACAUCGUAAACUUUAUAGUAAAAGGCUAUGUCCCACCUGGUACAAACAAAAGGAAGUUGCUUCACGAUUGUCGUUUCCACCAUUGGGAUGAGCCAUAUUUUUUCCGAGUCUGCACUGAUGGACUCUUGAGAAGGUGUGUUCCUAUGGCUGAGGCUACCCAAAUUAUGGAAAGAUGCCACGCCUCGCCAUAUGGAGGACACUAUGGAGCAUUCCGGACACAUGCUAAAAUUUGGCAAAGUGGCUUUUUCUGGCCAACGAUGUAUGAAGAUACAAAGGACUUUGUCAGGAGAUGCCACCGAUGUCAAAAACAUGGGAAUAUCAACUCACGAAAUGAAAUGCCUCUCACAAAUAAUCUUCAAGUAGAACUUUCCGAUGUAUGGGGCAUUGAUUUCAUGGGGCCAUUCCCUAUGUCCGGGAAUUGCGAGUAUAUCUUAGUAGCUGUGGACUACGUGUCCAAAUGGGUAGAAGCCUGUUGACACUUGCUAACACCACUUGAAUACUAGGUUGUCAUCCCCAGCAUAGCACUAGAGUGUACUAUGGUAUUUAUACGCACACAGAUAAUCCGCAAGCGCACGGAUACCGUUGAAGCUUUUACCCGGUUAAAGGUUUUAUCGUAUCCACAGGGAAACGGGAGAACCAACUACGCUCUAACUUAACCAAAAUAGGAAAGAUGGUAGAAUCGAAUAAGAACAAUAUUAAAGGUAAGAUAACAGUGAGUGAUAAUAUGGGAAUAGAGAAUAGAGCAAUUCUAGUAUAUGGGCGAUGGUAGCAGAAUAGAGAGAAUAACUAUGGUUUCUCUACUUCAAAGGGGUAUGUCUAUGUCUGGGACGAACCACGUGAUAAGAUUACACCAGAAAGGAUGCUUAUCCAUAGGCCGAUAAACACUACCCAUCCUGCUAACGAGAGGUGGACUACAGAGGACCAACGUAACUGUCACCUACGCGGCCUACCACAUGAUCCACCUAGACAGGGGAUAUCCACAAGUAAUCUAGGUCUAAGCACCACGCUUACACCUAUACUACAACUCUAACCUAUAGCGUCCUAUAUAGAUUAGAAGUACUCAAAAGAGUUGUGAACCAGAACAUACAUGAUUAGUAAUUGCAUAAUGAAUUAGAAGUAGAUUACUAGAGUCAUCCCUUGAGCAAGCUUGAUUAGAGCUUGAUCAUG
This 10777-nucleotide long non-coding RNA is filed under the name Sorghum bicolor (sorghum). RNAcentral's name for it is "long non-coding RNA (SBIC_LNC018062)". Lineage: Eukaryota; Viridiplantae; Streptophyta; Magnoliopsida; Poales; Poaceae. The record is from RNAcentral.